RNAcentral lists this ribosomal RNA (378 nucleotides) under uncultured cyanobacterium. RNAcentral's name for it is "bacterial SSU rRNA". It matches the Rfam family "Bacterial small subunit ribosomal RNA", at positions 376 to 770 of the family's 1533-position model. Lineage: Bacteria; Bacillati; Cyanobacteriota. The record is from RNAcentral.
CGAAAGCCUGACGGAGCAAUACCGCGUGAGGGAGGAAGGCUCUUGGGUCGUAAACCUCAAAACUUAGGGAAGAAGCAAGUGACGGUACCUAAUAUAAGCAUCGGCUAACUCCGUGCCAGCAGCCGCGGUAAUACGAGGGAUGCAAGCGUUAUCCGGAAUCAUUGGGCGUAAAGAGUCUGUAGGUGGCACUUCAAGUCUGCUGUCAAAGACCGAAGCUUAACUUCGGAAAGGCGGUGGAAACUGAAGAGCUAGAGUAAAGCAGGGGUAGAGGGAAUUCCCAGUGUAGCGGUGAAAUGCGUAGAGAUUGGGAAGAACACCAGUGGCGAAGGCGCUCUACUGGACCUGUACUGACACUCAGGGACGAAAGCUAGGGUAGCG